UCAUUAUCGUGGGGGUCCUCGGGCCCUUUGCGUGAUGCAACCCUUGCCCUUUUUUUAGCAUCUAUCCGUUUCCUCGGCAGCCUCGCCUGCUAACGAGGACCUUCAGAAACCCUUUUGUAAUCUCGGUACGAAACUCGGAAAAGCACAAACGUUUUAAAACUUUCAACAAUGGAUCUCUUGGCUCUGGCAUCGAUGAAGAACGCAGCGAAAUGCGAUAAGUAGUGUGAAUUGCAGAAUUCAGUGAAUCAUCGAAUCUUUGAACGCACAUUGCGCCCUUUGGUAUUCCUUAGGGCAUGCCUGUUCGAGCGUCAUUUCAAACCCUCAAGCUCAGCUUGGUGAUGGGCAGUUAGUCUCCCCGCAGCUUCGUUGUUGUGGCGGACUUGCCUUAAAUUUACGGAGGGGCGAGCAUCUUCCCCGGCUCAAGACGCAGCAGACUUGCGUCGCCUGCCCGGGGAGGGAUGGUUACUUUCCCGUCAAGCCAACAGAACUCAAGUUUGACCUCGGAUCAGGUAGGGAUACCCGCUGAACUUAAGCAUAUCAAUA
This 543-nucleotide ribosomal RNA is filed under the name Vaginatispora armatispora. RNAcentral's name for it is "eukaryotic LSU rRNA". The stretch from base 158 to 311 matches the Rfam family "5.8S ribosomal RNA". The record is from RNAcentral. Lineage: Eukaryota; Fungi; Ascomycota; Dothideomycetes; Pleosporales; Lophiostomataceae.